Molecule: ribosomal RNA, 360 nt
Rfam family: Eukaryotic large subunit ribosomal RNA
AACCGGGCGUCCGGCUCGUCGGAGUCUGAGCGCACGAGUCGGUACCCGAAAGAUGGUGAACUAUGCCUGGCCAGGGCGAAGCCGGAGGAAACUCCGGUGGAGGCCCGAAGCGGUUCUGACGUGCAAAUCGAUCGUCGGAGCGGAGUAUAGGGGCGAAAGACUAAUCGAACCAUCUAGUAGCUGGUUCCCUCCGAAGUUUCCCUCAGGAUAGCUGGCAUUCGGGAUGYRAGUUAAUCAGUCUCUCCUCGUAGAGAGAAUGAAUAGAGGCCCUGGGGCCCUAGACGACCUCAACCUAUUAUCAAACUACUACGAGGUGCGUCGGCCGUCGUUCCUGCCGAUUCGAGGAAUCGGCCAGAGAGA